GGGAUCGCCCUUAGAGUUUGAUCCUGGCUCAGGACGAACGCUGGCGGCGUGCCUAAUACAUGCAAGUCGAGCGGACAGAAGGGAGCUUGCUCCCGGAUGUUAGCGGCGGACGGGUGAGUAACACGUGGGUAACCUGCCUGUAAGACUGGGAUAACUCCGGGAAACCGGAGCUAAUACCGGAUAGUUCCUUGAACCGCAUGGUUCAAGGAUGAAAGACGGUUUCGGCUGUCACUUACAGAUGGACCCGCGGCGCAUUAGCUAGUUGGUGGGGUAAUGGCUCACCAAGGCGACGAUGCGUAGCCGACCUGAGAGGGUGAUCGGCCACACUGGGACUGAGACACGGCCCAGACUCCUACGGGAGGCAGCAGUAGGGAAUCUUCCGCAAUGGACGAAAGUCUGACGGAGCAACGCCGCGUGAGUGAUGAAGGUUUUCGGAUCGUAAAGCUCUGUUGUUAGGGAAGAACAAGUGCGAGAGUAACUGCUCGCACCUUGACGGUACCUAACCAGAAAGCCACGGCUAACUACGUGCCAGCAGCCGCGGUAAUACGUAGGUGGCAAGCGUUGUCCGGAAUUAUUGGGCGUAAAGGGCUCGCAGGCGGUUUCUUAAGUCUGAUGUGAAAGCCCCCGGCUCAACCGGGGAGGGUCAUUGGAAACUGGGAAACUUGAGUGCAGAAGAGGAGAGUGGAAUUCCACGUGUAGCGGUGAAAUGCGUAGAGAUGUGGAGGAACACCAGUGGCGAAGGCGACUCUCUGGUCUGUAACUGACGCUGAGGAGCGAAAGCGUGGGGAGCGAACAGGAUUAGAUACCCUGGUAGUCCACGCCGUAAACGAUGAGUGCUAAGUGUUAGGGGGUUUCCGCCCCUUAGUGCUGCAGCUAACGCAUUAAGCACUCCGCCUGGGGAGUACGGUCGCAAGACUGAAACUCAAAGGAAUUGACGGGGGCCCGCACAAGCGGUGGAGCAUGUGGUUUAAUUCGAAGCAACGCGAAGAACCUUACCAGGUCUUGACAUCCUCUGACAACCCUAGAGAUAGGGCUUUCCCUUCGGGGACAGAGUGACAGGUGGUGCAUGGUUGUCGUCAGCUCGUGUCGUGAGAUGUUGGGUUAAGUCCCGCAACGAGCGCAACCCUUGAUCUUAGUUGCCAGCAUUCAGUUGGGCACUCUAAGGUGACUGCCGGUGACAAACCGGAGGAAGGUGGGGAUGACGUCAAAUCAUCAUGCCCCUUAUGACCUGGGCUACACACGUGCUACAAUGGACAGAACAAAGGGCUGCAAGACCGCAAGGUUUAGCCAAUCCCAUAAAUCUGUUCUCAGUUCGGAUCGCAGUCUGCAACUCGACUGCGUGAAGCUGGAAUCGCUAGUAAUCGCGGAUCAGCAUGCCGCGGUGAAUACGUUCCCGGGCCUUGUACACACCGCCCGUCACACCACGAGAGUUUGCAACACCCGAAGUCGGUGAGGUAACCUUUAUGGAGCCAGCCGCCGAAGGUGGGGCAGAUGAUUGGGGUGAAGUCGUAACAAGGUAGCCGUAAAGGGCGAUCC
Molecule: ribosomal RNA, 1536 nt
Filed under: Bacillus sp. 6063
Lineage: Bacteria; Bacillati; Bacillota; Bacilli; Caryophanales; Bacillaceae
Description: bacterial SSU rRNA
Rfam family: Bacterial small subunit ribosomal RNA
Source: RNAcentral